Molecule: non-coding RNA, 535 nt
Organism: Camellia sinensis
Lineage: Eukaryota; Viridiplantae; Streptophyta; Magnoliopsida; Ericales; Theaceae
Source: RefSeq, a predicted model, not a curated record
UUUCAGGUGCUAUAUAUUUUCAAACACACACAAACUCGAUGAUUGUUGCCAUUUUUAAUGUUCUAAUUACGUAGUAUUUGUAAUGUGAAGUAUUUUGGGCAAACCAUGCGAAGCAACCUGGCCUGGAGUGAUUGCAUUAUUUCCCACUCUAGUUUCUUUUGUCGAUUGUAUACCUAAGGACCUGAACAAAGUAUUGCCUAAUCUUGAACCAGAUGGAGUUGAUCUUGUUUAUAGAAUGCUCCGGUUGAAUCCAAAAGAUAGAAUUACAGCUUCUGAUGCACUAAAUCACCAAUACUUUUCAAGAUGUGAUUCCCGAUCCUCUUCGUGAUUCUCUGUCAAAAGAAUGUGUGCUUCUUCUAAAGAAUGUUUUGAUUCACAUUACCUUUGCCUGCAACACUAUGUCUCUUUUCCUAAAGUUCUCUUCAAUUGGAAGAAAUAAACAAUUUGAUGUUGUUGACAGAACUACUCAAUAUGUAUGAUUCAUCCAUUUUUGACCAAUAAAGUACCACCUCUUUUAUCAGAAUCGUCCGAUUUA